Molecule: long non-coding RNA, 1597 nt
Filed under: Hermetia illucens (black soldier fly)
Lineage: Eukaryota; Metazoa; Arthropoda; Insecta; Diptera; Stratiomyidae
Description: uncharacterized LOC119661078
Source: RNAcentral
CGGUUGCAGAUGUCUCCUUUCGCAGACAAUAUAGUAAACUGUUGAUUGGAGUUGCUAAUUUCCAAUUGAUUUUUACCUUAAUUGCUUUGGUUGAUUGAAGUACUAAUCUAAUCUUGCUGGAGUUAUUAAAACAGUAUAUACCAUAGAAACAUUUAUCAGUUUAGUGAGUGACCCUAUAAUAGCGACCUACUUCAGAAUUUUGAUUUGUUAUUGAAGUACGGUGGGUUUAGCAAAUUAGCAAAUGAAAUAUAGAGUUCCCCUGUUGCCAAUCAGAUUGAAACUUCAGAAAGUUAUGACUAACGUUUCCUGGAAACGCGGACUAAUUAGUUGAUUGAAGUCGGUAAUUCCAAACGAAUUCGCCUAUAAUAGCAGAAUUGCGUCGAUUACUUCACACGAAAUAUGAUUCUUUUGAGUUAGACCAUUUUGGCUGCUUGAAGUAUUGUUGACAGAUGGAACGGUGCGUCUGGUUCUGUGUUCUGAGGUGACAUUUACGUAAGAUGCAGUAAAAAAUUUAACAGAUGGUCAAUAAAAUCAACACUUAUCAAAUCUGUGUUUUCUUCUAAGUCACUCUUCAAUUUGUUUUACUAUCAAAUUAUCGUGGGUUAAACUAAUUCAAUAAAUGGAAUAUUCAUUUCUCUCCUACUGUCCAUCAAAUUCAUCAAAUUCAAACUACGAAAAGUUAGCUCUAGCGUUUUUCGCAAGCCCGGAAUAAUGCGUUGAUUGAAGUCGGCAACUCCAAACGAAUUCGGCUAUAAUAGGUGAAUUGCGUCGAUCACUUCAGGCGAAGUAUAUUCUGUUGAGCUAGACCGUUUUGGUUGCUUGCAGAAACGUUGAUGGAUGGAGCGAUGUGUCUAAGAUGCAAGAUGUGUAAGAUGCAAUAAACAAAUCCAGCAGAUGGUCGUUGAAAAUCAGCACUUAUGUUUGUCGCAGUUAUUAAGACAGUACACACCAUAGAAACAUUUAUCAGUUCGUUGACUGACCCCAUAAUAGCGACUAUUUCUGAAUUUUGAUUUGCUAUCGAAAAACUCCGCGUUAACCAAAGUUGUCAAAUGAGAUAACAUGGCGUUCCCUGCUACUGCCGAGUAAUAUAAUUACUCUUAUGAUCAUGUGUCGAAUACUGUAAUUCAGGAAGUAUUCGCAGGCGUUUUCCGGAACGCGGAAUAGUUUGUUGAUUGAAGUCGGUACUUCCAAAUGAAUUCGGCUAUAAUAGUUGAAUUGUGUUGAUUACUUCAAGCGGAGUUUGAUUCUUUGGAACUAGACCGUUUUGGUUGCUUGAGGUAACGUUGAUCGAUGGGACGGUGCUUCUCGUUCUGUGUUCUUAGUUACCAUUUAAGUAAGAUGCAGUAAAAGAAUUCAACAGUACAACAUUCAGUAAAAAUAAACACUUACCAAAUUUGUGAUGUCUUUUUCUUAGAAAUAAUUACCCUCGAAAUGGUAGUUCACUUAUGGAUAACUCCACUUUUGACGACACUAAGCUUGUCGAUAACAAAUUAGUUUUUGGUCAUUGUUACAUGUAGUCCAUCGGUUAAAGAUGUUUCUGUUGGCCACUUGCUGAUCGGCGGUGCUAAUUUUCAAUUGAUAAUUCUCUAUUAUUUCU